AUGCGCGGCGGCGAUGGGAAGCCCGGGAGGGGCCCGAAGAGGCAGCUCAACGCCGGCUACGUCGUCGGCGGCCUCCUCAUGCUCCUCACCUAUCUCGUCGCUCAGCAUUUCGCGGUCAGCUCCCCCAAUGUUGUCAUCACGGAAGCACCACGGAUCGUGGACGAUGUCAAGUCUCCCGGCGAAACAGCGGUUGUCAGUAGGGAAGUACCACAGAUCGUGGAUAAUACCAAAGAUCCCGGCGAAACAGCUGUUGUCAGUGCGGAAGUACCACAAAUCGCGGAUAAUACUAUCAAAGCUCCCCGUGAAACAGAGAAUGGCAAGGUGGUGUGUAACAUGGAGGGCCGCUCCGACACCUGCGAAGUCGACGGCGACGUGCGCACCAACGGCACAGCCCUGUCGGUGACCCUCGUCCCGGCGGCGAGCUGGCCGGAGCGCCACGAGUGGAUGAUCAACCCGUACUCGCGGAGGUUCGCCAGCCUCAGGAAGGUCACCGUGACGCAGCUGCAGGACCGGGCGGCCGCCCCGCCGUGCACGGUGACCCACGACAUGCCGGCCGUCCUGUUCGGGGUCGGCGGGUACGCGGCCAACUACUGGCACGCCUACGCCGACAUCCUGGUGCCGCUGUUCGUCGCGUCGCGGCGGUACCACGGCGAGGUCAUGUUCCUGGUCAGCAACAUCCAGUUCAGGCCGCGGUGGCUGGUCAAGUACAGGGCCUUCCUGCAGGGGCUGUCCAAGUACGACCUCGUGGACAUGGACGGGGACGCGCAGGUGCGGUGCUUCCCGCGCGUCACCGUGGGGCUCCGCCUCGACAAGGAGCUGAGCAUCGUCCCCGAGCUGGUGCCGGGGGGCCGCCUCUCCAUGCCCGACUUCACCGGGUUCCUGCGCGAGGCCUACGCGCUCCCACGCGGCGCGGCGGCCAGCCUGGCCCGGGAGCCGGAGAAGAAGCCGCGGCUGCUGCUGAUCCACCGGGGCCACUACCGCCGCAUCCUGAACGAGCCGGAGGUGGCGCGAGCGGCGGAGGCGGCGGGGUUCGAGGCGGUGGUGACGGAGCUGCGGGGCGGGGGCGACACGCCGGAGGGGGAGGUGGAGCAGGCGCGGGUGGUGAACUCGUUCGACGUGGUGCUGGGCCUGCACGGCGCGGGGCUGACGAACGCCAUGUUCCUGCCGCCCGGCGGCGUGCUGAUCCAGGUGGUGCCGUACGGGAACAUGGAGGACAUCGCGAGGGCGGAGUUCAGCGAGCCCGCCACGGACAUGGGGCUCAAGUACCUCGACUACAGCGUGUGCGCGGAGGAGAGCUCGCUGAUGGAGACGCUGGGGCCGGAGCACCCGGCGGUCAAGGACCCCGCCUCCGUCCACCGCAGCGGCUGGGACAAGGUGUUCGAGCUGUACCUCGCCAAGCAGAACGUCCGCAUCAACGUCACCCGCUUCGCGCCGACGCUGGCGCAGGCGCUCGACCACCUACGCCGGCAGUAG
RNAcentral lists this ribosomal RNA (1473 nucleotides) under Triticum aestivum (bread wheat). RNAcentral's name for it is "partial small subunit ribosomal RNA". Lineage: Eukaryota; Viridiplantae; Streptophyta; Magnoliopsida; Poales; Poaceae. The record is from RNAcentral.